Long non-coding RNA from Lepidothrix coronata (blue-crowned manakin), 371 nucleotides. RefSeq lists it as uncharacterized. The record is from RefSeq and is a predicted model, not a curated record. Lineage: Eukaryota; Metazoa; Chordata; Aves; Passeriformes; Pipridae. The transcript is spliced from 3 exons.
AGAGGGGUCGCUGGCAAAGGGCAGAGGUGGAGGUGUUCAGGGCAAGCAGCCUGGGAAACGGCUUCAGCCUGGGAUAGAAGCACUCUAUCAAAAUUACCGGGAUACAUCCUGCCUUUGAUGGGGAGAUUAUUGUCUCUAAAGGGCCCAAGGAGAGGCUGGGCCUGAGGAGAAGCCCCAUGCCCUGCACAACACAUGAGGAAACUGAGGCACAAAGCCAUCACAGCAUCUACCCUUCUCUGAGCCAAAACUACUCUCUUCCACUGGUGUUUCCUUGUCUACGUGAAGCACCCAAAAGGAGGUCAGGCAGACCGGAGCAGCCAGCCUGAGCAUGCAGAGGGAGCAGGAUCCCGGUUCUUGGCUGCAUCUCCUGC